RNAcentral lists this long non-coding RNA (1438 nucleotides) under Bos indicus x Bos taurus (hybrid cattle). RNAcentral describes it as "lncRNA (ENSBIXG00005031061.1)". Lineage: Eukaryota; Metazoa; Chordata; Mammalia; Artiodactyla; Bovidae. The record is from RNAcentral.
UCCAUCUCCCCAUCUUCCCAUCUCCCCAUCUCCCCACCACCCAUCACCCCACCUCCCCAUCACCCCACCUCCCCAUCACCCCGUCUCCCCAUCACCCCAUCUCCCCAUCACCGCAUCUCCCCACCUCCCCAUCACCCCGUCUCCCCAUCUCCCCAGCCCAGCCUUCCUCUUCUCUCCCUCAGAGGUGUCCAUGCAGCCUCUCCUUCCUGUGGGCCUCCCCCAGGAGACCAGCGGAGAGCUAAUUACUGUUUUCUCUUCUCCAGGCCCUGUGGCUCUGCCAGACGAGGCUCCCCUUCUGUCAGGCCCACGAUCCUCCGCGGGGACCUGGAGGUGGCCCAGGCACGUAUCUCUGUCUCCCUAGUUACCGCGGGCCCCCAUCCAGGACACUCCCACCCGCCUCGUGGCUCCAAUGCCUCCGCUGCUCACCUGUGCUUCCGGUUUCAGGAUGGGACACAGCAGCCCAGGAAAUUCUCCUGAGACUGAUUCCUGCCGGCUUCCCUGUUCUCUGGAAUGACUGCUCAUCCCGUGCUGGGGACCGUCUCCUUUGUCUUCUCCAGGCCGUGUUCCUUGCUCAAGAUGGAUUGCUGGCUGGAAAAUGAGCAGAUCUGAUGGCAGGGCUUGGAAAUAAGAACCCAAGUUCUGCCCAAAGCCUAAGACAUCUAUCUGCACACGCCCAGCUUCUCUGGGAAGCCAGUUACGUAUCGGCACAAGGCUGAGGUGCCCGGGGCCACUGUGGACUCUCUGAUGCUGUCUGCAACUGGUCUCUCCAUCCUAAUCACAGGGAAGACAGUUUAGGAGGUGACGCAAUACUGCUGUAGCAGCCCUUGGACAACUUGCCUUCUUCCAAAACCCUCCUGGGCCAAGCUUUCCCGUUCGCACGCUGAAAUAUUAGAUGUUCAGCUGGGAGUCCAACAGCAAAAUAUUUCUGAAAUUGUGCGUGUGUGUGUGUGUUUCUUUCUUUCUUUUUUUUCCUUCUAAUUUAAUGUGCCAGACAAGCCUCCCGGUAAUUAAAACCAGAAACAAGGACCAGACUUAGAGAUUUGAAGGCUGUAAAAUUCUAGGACAGGUUUAUGUAAAGCAAUUAAAAAGGGAGUUAAAAAUUGUUAAAAAAUUAAACACUAAUUACUUUUUUUUCUCCUCUCAUUUCUGCUGAGCUGUUUUGGCCGUGGAGCUCGAAGAAAGAUAUAAAAAGGAGAAAGUUUUGCCUCGUUGCUGUAAAUCAUGUUCAGCAAAUGCGCCUCUGCAGUUUGCAGCCGAACCCAUCUGCUGUCAAUUAACCUAAAUCAUGCCUUUUCAAUUAAACUGGCUUAGGGAAGUCUGGUAGCAAAACGGGUGUGUGUGUGUGUGUGUGUGUUUGUGUGUGUGUGUGUGUGCGGCCAGCGUGGUGGUGGUGGAGGAUGGGAGAAAGGUGAUGUCUGAUUUCAGACUGCGAGGUGGA